Molecule: ribosomal RNA, 468 nt
Filed under: uncultured bacterium
Lineage: Bacteria
Description: partial 16S ribosomal RNA
Rfam family: Bacterial small subunit ribosomal RNA
Source: RNAcentral
GACGAACGCUGGCGGCGUGCUUAACACAUGCAAGUCGAACGGAAAGGCCCUGCUAUUGUGCUGUUCUCGAGUGGCGAACGGGUGAGUAACACGUGUGUAACCUGCCCUUGACUUUGGGAUAACUUCACGUAACUGGGGCUAAUACCGGACAGGAUCCCCUCCUGCAUUGUGGGGGUUGGAAAUUUUAGGCGGGUGGGGAUGGACUCGCGGCUUAUCGGCUUGUUGGUGGGGUAGUGGCUUACCAAGGCUUUGACGGGUAGCCGGCCUGAGAGGGUGAACGGGCACAUGGGGACUGAGAGACGGCGCAGACUCCUACGGGAGGCAGCAGGGGGGAGUAUUGCACAAUGGGCGGAAGCCGGAUGCAGAGACGCCGCGGGCGGGAUGACGGCCUUCGGGGUGUAAACCGCUUUCGCCUGUGACGAAGCGUGAGUGACGGUACUGGGUAAAGAAGCACCGGCUAACUACGUG